This 45-nucleotide non-coding RNA is filed under the name Schistosoma curassoni. Lineage: Eukaryota; Metazoa; Platyhelminthes; Trematoda; Strigeidida; Schistosomatidae. The record is from RNAcentral.
AUCCAGCUGACAAGUCUCAAAUAUGACGAAAUUCAAGUUCUGCAU